CGUAGGCUGUAACCUUCACCUCCUGUUUGGGGAAACUAGUUACUUUGAUCACCCCCCCUCCCCAUUACAUUGUAUCAUGUGAGUGAGUUACUUUUAAGUGGCGGGGGGAGAGGGCAUGAGUGCUAAUCAGCGGAGGGAUCUACUGUGAUCUGCAAAGUGAACCAUCGUCCUGGAGAGAUCUUGAAGAUAGCAGUCCAGUAGUCAUGUCAGUCAGCGUCCAUGAAAACCGUAAAUCCCGAACGAGCACUGGUUCAAUGAACAUCUUGCUGUUCCACAAAGCCUCCCAUCCAGACUGUGUCCUGUCUCACCUCAACACCAUGAGGAAGCACUGCAAGUUCACUGACGUCACCCUCUGGGCUGGGAAUAAGUCCUUUCCAUGCCACCGGGCUGUGCUUGCUGCUGCCAGCAGGUACUUCGAAGCCAUGUUUAGCAACGGCCUUCGCGAGAGCUUGGGCGACAAGGUAAAUUUCCACGAUAGCCUGCACCCAGAGGUGUUGGAGCUGCUGUUGGACUAUGCUUACUCAUCCAAGAUCAUAAUCAAUGAGGAGAAUGCAGAGUCCCUCCUGGAAGCCGGCGACAUGUUGCAGUUCCAGGACGUCAGGGAUGCGGCUGCCGAGUUCCUUGAGAAGAACCUGCACCCUUCCAACUGUCUGGGCAUGAUGGUCCUUUCAGAUGCUCACCAGUGCAAGAGGCUCUAUGAGCUUUCUUGGAGGAUGUGCUUGGUCAACUUUGAGACAGUCCACAGAAACGAAGAUUUCAAUAACCUCUCCAAGGACACCUUGCUGGACUUGAUUUCCAGUGACGAGCUGGAAAUUGAGGAUGAGGAGAAGGUAUUCAAGGCAGUCAUGCAGUGGGUGAAGCAUGACUUGGACAAGAGGAAGUCUUUCCUCCCAGAGAUGUUGAAGAACGUGCGACUGGCCUUGCUGCCUUCUGAGUGCCUGAAGGAAGCCAUGACCUACGAGGAGCUGAUCACAGCGGAAGACCAGAACAAGCAAAUCAUGGUUGAAGCUCUUUGGUGCAAAAAGAAGAUAUUGCAGAACGAUGGGGUGGUCACCAGCCCCUGUGCCAGGCCUCGGAAAGCUGGGCACACUUUGCUCAUCUUAGGGGGCCAGACGUUUAUGUGUGACAAGGUUUACCAAGUAGACCACAAGGCGAAAGAGAUCAUCCCCAAAGCCGACCUCCCUAGCCCUCGAAAAGAGUUCAGCGCCUGCGCCAUUGGCUGCAAAGUCUACAUCACUGGAGGCAGGGGCUCCGAAAACGGGGUCUCCAAGGAUGUCUGGGUCUACGACACAGUGAACGAGGAGUGGUCCAAAGCUGCCCCGAUGCUCAUCGCUCGCUUUGGACAUGGCUCGGCUGAACUGGAAAACUGCCUCUACGUCGUCGGCGGACACACCGCAGUGGCCGGGGUCUUCCCAGCCUCUCCUUCCGUUUCGCUGAAACAGGUGGAGAAGUACGACCCUCUCACCAACAAAUGGACUAUGGUGGCCCCUCUGAGGGACGGCGUCAGCAACGCAGCCGUCGUCAGCGCGAGGCUAAAGCUCUACGUCUUUGGUGGGACCAGCAUCCACCGUGACAUGGUGUCCAAAGUCCAGUGCUACGACCCGGUGGAGAACCGGUGGACCAUCAAAGCCCAGUGCCCCCAGCCCUGGCGCUACACGGCAGGCGCCGUCCUGGGUAGCCAGAUCUUUAUCAUGGGUGGAGACACGGAGUACACAGCGGCCUCCGCCUACCGCUUUGACUGCGAAACGGACCAGUGGACGCGGAUUGGGGACAUGACGGCCAAGCGGAUGUCCUGCCACGCUUUGGCCUCUGGGAACAAGCUUUAUGUGGUGGGCGGCUACUUUGGGACGCAGAGGUGCAAGACACUGGAUUGUUACGACCCGACCUCAGACACCUGGAACUGCAUUACCACUGUGCCUUACUCUCUCAUCCCGACAGCGUUUGUUAGCACUUGGAAACACUUACCAGCUUGAGGCACACAGUCUGCAGGCGAGAACUGAGGAGCUUGAGGAGGUAAGGUAUCUUAAUGGAAGUUUCUGCUGAUGCCUGCAGAUUCCUCUUUUGCAUGGACUUCUAGACAGGAACCCCAGAAGCUUAACAAAUAUAAAAGAUGUGACAACCCUGCAAAGAUAGUGACACUGAAUUUGUAUUCCAGUAACGUUACUGGAAUCUGCACAAGUGGCUACUGGCUUUACUGCCUCCCACAGGGCUCAUUCCUCUCGCUGCCUCAGUAUGGGGAGGGAUGUCAGGCUGCUCCAAGAAGUAACCGGAUGGAUGGAUGGAUGGGGAGCCUGAGCAAAUCGUUUGCUCGAAGGUAAAGGGCGCAAUGCACUGUGGACAUCCUUCGAUGGCGGCAGCUUUGCCAGCGCCACACGGGUGCCAUGUUGGCAUCGGCUGGGUUUGGAAGAGAGCCCAGUAAGGGAAGGGACUGAAAAGCCUCAGCAUCUUUCUUCAGACAAAGGAAGCCUUUUGAGGACUUCAGAAACUCGGCUGCACCACAUGAAUGAAGCACAGGCACCUCUGCAAGGGCUAGAUUUGCGUUGAGUCAUUUUG
RNA transcript from Lacerta agilis (Sand lizard), 2553 nucleotides. It is a transcript of the gene named kelch like family member 25, with no coding region annotated. The record is from RefSeq and is a predicted model, not a curated record. Lineage: Eukaryota; Metazoa; Chordata; Lepidosauria; Squamata; Lacertidae. The transcript has 3 exons.